Long non-coding RNA from Oncorhynchus keta (chum salmon), 2132 nucleotides. RefSeq lists it as uncharacterized. NCBI's taxonomy places the organism in Eukaryota, Metazoa, Chordata, Actinopteri, Salmoniformes, Salmonidae. The record is from RefSeq and is a predicted model, not a curated record. The transcript is spliced from 3 exons.
CAAGACCCUACAACUCUAUCCUACAGCUAGCUAACUCUAUAACAGCCUGGGAGACACGAGGACAGUUAACUAGCUCCUACAAGACCCUACAGCUCUAUCCUACAGCUAGCUAACUCUAUACCAGCCUGGGAGACAUGAGGACAGUUAACUAGCUCCUACAAGACCCUACAGCUCUAUCCUACAGCUAGCUGACUCUAUAACAGCCUGGGAGACAUGAGGACAGUUAACUAGCUCCUACAAGACCCUACAGCUCUAUCCUACAGCUAGCUAACUCUAUACCAGCCUGGGAGACAUGAGGACAGUUAACUAGCUCCUACAAGACCCUACAGCUCUAUCAUACAGCUAGCUGACUCUAUACCAGCCUGGGAGACAUGAGGACAGUUAACUAGCUCCUACAAGACCCUACAGCUCUAUCCUACAGCUAGCUGACUCUAUAACAGCCUGGGAGACAUGAGGACAGUUAACUAGCUCCUACAAGACCCUACAGCUCUAUCCUACAGAUAAGCUGACUCUAUAACAGCCUGGGAGACACGAGGACAGUUAACUAGCUCCUACAAGACCCUACAGCUCUAUCCUACAGCUAGCUAACUCUAUACCAGCCUGGGAGACAUGAGGACAGACAGUUAGCUCCUACAAGACCCUACAGCUCUAUCCUACAGCUAGCUAACUCUAUAACAGCCUGGGAGACAUGAGGACAGUUAACUAGCUCCUACAAGACCCUACAGCUCUAUCCUACAGCUAGCUGACUCUAUACCAGCCUGGGAGACAUGAGGACAGUUAACUAGCUCCUACAAGACCCUACAACUCUAUCCUACAGCUAGCUAACUCUAUACCAGCCUGGGAGACACGAGGACAGUUAACUAGCUCCUACAAGACCCUACAACUCUAUCCUACAGCUAGCUAACUCUAUACCAGCCUGGGAGACACGAGGACAGUAAAAUAGCCUGUAGCUUGUACAGGGACAACAGUUAGUUCCUGAGGGAAGAACAUCCGUUUGUAGCUAUUUUUAAAGGGUGGUUAACUCCUCUAGCUAUCUCUUCAAAAUAUUCUAUCUACCUUAGACAGAGAUGAGAUGCCAGAUGGAGUCAUUAUACAAAUCCCUAUAAGAACUGUGUGGUAUAAUAAAAAAAUACUGUCUAUCACUGGUAAUCGGUUAUAAGGAAUACCCAGUGAGUUCACUCUGAGAACCUCGCCGGGCGGUUACUGUAAACCUCCUUACUGUAAACCAUCCCUUCUACCAGCUUCUAAAUGUCACCAAAGGUCACUAAAAUUCAUUUUAAUCCUGACACUGUACCCUUGAGUUGGCCCAGAGUGACUGUACAGAGAAGUGACUUAAUCACAGGACAGACAGACUGCACAGGACAGACAGACUGCACGGGACAGACAGACUGCACGGGACAUACAGACUGCACAGGACAGACAGACUGCACAGGACAGACAGACUACACAGGACAGACAGACUACACAGGACAGACAGACUACACAGGACAGACAGACUACACAGGACAGACAGACUACACAGGACAGACUACACAGGACAGACUACACAGGACAGACAGACUACACAGGACAGACAGACUACACAGGACAGACAGACUACACAGGACAGACAGACUACACAGGACAGACUGCACAGGACAGACAGACUACACAGGACAGACAGACUACACAGGACAGACAGACUACACAGGACAGACAGACUACACAGGACAGACAGACUACACAGGACAGACAGACUACACAGGACAGACAGACUACACAGGACAGACAGACUACACAGGACAGACAGACUACACAGGACAGACAGACUACACAGGACAGACUACACAGGACAGACAGACUACACAGGACAGACAGACUACACAGCACAGACAGACUACACAGGACAGACAGACUACACAGGACAGACAGACUACACAGGACAGACAGACUACACAGGACAGACAGACUACACAGGACAGACAGACUACACAGGACAGACAGACUACACAGGACAGACAGACUACACAGGACAGACAGACUACACAGGACAGACUACACAGGACAGACAGACUACACAGGACAGACAGACUACACAGGACAGACAGACUACACAGGACAGACAGACUACACAGGACAGACAGACUACACAG